GACGAACGCUGGCGGCGUGCCUAAUACAUGCAGGUAGAACGCACAGUUUAUACCGUAGCUUGCUACACCAUAAACUGUGAGUUGCGAACGGGUGAGUAACGCGUAGGUAACCUGCCUGGUAGCGGGGGAUAACUAUUGGAAACGAUAGCUAAUACCGCAUAAUAUUAAUUAUUGCAUGAUAAUUGAUUGAAAGAUGCAACUGCAUCACUACCAGAUGGACCUGCGUUGUAUUAGCUAGUAGGUGAGGUAACGGCUCACCUAGGCGACGAUACAUAGCCGACCUGAGAGGGUGAUCGGCCACACUGGGACUGAGACACGGCCCAGACUCCUACGGGAGGCAGCAGUAGGGAAUCUUCGGCAAUGGACGAAAGUCUGACCGAGCAACGCCGCGUGAGUGAAGAAGGUUUUCGGAUCGUAAAGCUCUGUUGUAAGAGAAGAACGGGUGUGAGAGUGGAAAGUUCACACUGGACGUAUCUACUAAAGGCG
This 486-nucleotide ribosomal RNA is filed under the name Streptococcus gordonii. RNAcentral's name for it is "bacterial SSU rRNA". It matches the Rfam family "Bacterial small subunit ribosomal RNA", at positions 28 to 493 of the family's 1533-position model. The record is from RNAcentral. Lineage: Bacteria; Bacillati; Bacillota; Bacilli; Lactobacillales; Streptococcaceae.